This 253-nucleotide ribosomal RNA is filed under the name uncultured bacterium. RNAcentral describes it as "partial 16S ribosomal RNA". It matches the Rfam family "Bacterial small subunit ribosomal RNA", at positions 524 to 776 of the family's 1533-position model. The record is from RNAcentral.
UACGAAGGGGGCUAGCGUUGCUCGGAAUCACUGGGCGUAAAGCGCACGUAGGCGGGUCCUUAAGUCAGGGGUGAAAUCCCGGAGCUCAACUCCGGAACUGCCUUUGAUACUGGGGAUCUUGAGUCCGGAAGAGGUGAGUGGAACUCCGAGUGUAGAGGUGAAAUUCGUAGAUAUUCGCAAGAACACCAGUGGCGAAGGCGGCUUACUGGUCCGGUUCUGACGCUGAGGCGCGAAAGCGUGGGGAGCAAACAGG